This 443-nucleotide transfer RNA is filed under the name Acer monspessulanum subsp. turcomanicum. RNAcentral's name for it is "Acer turcomanicum partial tRNA-Leu". The stretch from base 397 to 443 matches the Rfam family "tRNA", at positions 1 to 46 of the family's 71-position model. The record is from RNAcentral. Lineage: Eukaryota; Viridiplantae; Streptophyta; Magnoliopsida; Sapindales; Sapindaceae.
AAAAUCCGUCGACUUUAGAAAUCGUGAGGGUUCAAGUCCCUCUAUCCCCCCAAAAAGACCGAUUUGACUAUUUCUCCUACCCUCUCUUUUUUUUAGUGGUUCAAAAUUCGUUCUCUUUCUCAUUCAUUCUACCUUUUUACAAACGUAUCAGAGCAGAAUUUUUUUUUCUUUUAUCACAAUCACAAGUGGUGUGGUAUAUAUGAUAUACGUACAAAUGAACAUCUUUGAACAAAGAAUCCCGAUUCACAAUCCAUAUCAUUGCUCAUACUGAAACUUAUAAAUUAUUCUAUUCAAGAAAUCGAAUUCCACGCUCAAGACUUUUAAUACUUUUUUUAUCUUUUUUAAUUGACAUAGACCCCAGUCAUCUAGUAAAACGAGGAUGAUGCGCCGGUAAUGGUCGGGAUAGCUCAGCUGGUAGAGCAGAGGACUGAAAAUCCUCGUGU